UCAGGCACUCCUUUGGUCGACUGUCUGUCAGUUAGUAUCAAUUUGCACACCUGUAUGGAGCUGAUGGAGGGCGGUGUGUCUGGCUAGGUUUGGGAGCUACUGACCGGAACAGGACUUUUUUGCUACAGUAUCCAGAUACACCUGAUACGACUCCUGCUUCACUUUACACAGUGCUGACAUAAGAGAACAAAGAGAAGGUGACGGUGUGAAACAGAAGCUACACUGUCCAAUCCCUGCUCUGCCAGAGUACGCCCUCAUAAACGAACACUGCUAAAGUUUUCUGUUUGAUCAGAAACUACACAAAGUCACUGUUUCCCGUGCCCCCUGCUAUAGUCCCUUAACAGCUCUGAGAAGAACUCCUAUGCUGUGAUCUCUGCUGUGCUCUGAUCCUCCAUCAAAAGACAUUUGUCUCCGAGAUGUACGGUAGCCUCCUUUCAUCUGUUUAUUCCUCAGCAUCCAAGGUUAAAUCUGCAAUGGAGGGAGAGUUGGAAAUUAGCUCGAACAAUAAAUGAUCCAGUUCAAGUUUCUCACUUCUCGAAAGCAACCGAACAAAAAUCUUUCCCAAUAUUAUCAACCAAAUUUCAUGCUUCACAUUGCAACCUCUCUCAUAUGUCCUACCUCUGUCCAUUGGUUUACAAGUUCUGGCAGCAUUACUAUGGCAAAAUGUCAAAAAUGUUCCAUUUAAACUUGACACUCUUAUCUCCCAGUCGAACAAACCAUUCAUUUGGAGCGCUUAUCAUUCAGCUCAUUACUGGCAAGCCAACACCUACUCCAUCUCUGAAAAUCCAGCAGCGUCCUCUCCCACGCUCAAUGGUUCCAUGAUGAAAUGUCUUUUCUUAAAUUUCGUAAAAUCAAACCUUCUCUUUGAGGCAAAUGUACUGGGAGAUCAGCAAAUCUUCAAAUUUGAGCUAAAAUAAUUUAUUUAAUUAACUAUAAAUCAGCAGAUAGCUGUAUAGCAUUAGCUUGCUUCCUCACUUGCAAAACACAAUCUGGAGCCACAUCAGUUUUUGUCUUUCUGUCCUUAUGUGCCUGUGCUGUGCUACCAGCCUGUCAUUUGUUGACAUUAGUAGUGGAUGCAGGGAGCUUGGUAGUGAGUGCAAAUGUCACAUUCUUUGUAUUCUUGUGGAGAGCCAUUUGACAUUCUUUAAAUAAGAAUCCGUCAAAGUGCUGUUACAGGCAACUGAGGAGGAAAACAUUUAAGUUUACAAAAUCCAUACAAAUACUCCCCCCCCAAAAAAGCAUGAACGGAACUUUGUCAUAGUGCUCAUUUAAUUGUUAUUUAAGGGUUUAGACUCAUCUUUGUUUUAUUUUGCUUUGUUUGCAGUCUUUAUUAAACUUUAAGAUAGCACUUAAACUUCUUUCUCACAGUGUACAAUUUAGAGAGGCCAUGUUUUGUAUUCUGAGGUCGUUUUAAAGCGUCUUCCUCUUUCUGCUUUACGCUCUGACACAUCAGUUGUUGAAAAGAGGGAGCCACAUUUAUCUUGACUUUUACUUUGACAAAGUGAAGUGGUGAACGCUUACAUCCAUUAUUCCAGUGGACAUAUCUGACAGCAGAGCAGUUUGUACAGUUUUGUGAAUCUGUGUCCAGUUUUGAACUGUUUUGAUCCACAGACUCUGCAAUAUUCCAGACAGCAAGUCAAUAACACUCUGUUCUUGCUUUUGUAACAGGCUGGAUUUCAGUGUUGGUUACACUGAACUUGUGAGAUUAGCUGGCUUCCACUACAGGUCUUUAUCCAGGUGUAUCAAAAACAUCUAGAGGGUUAAAUAAAUAAAAACAGCAGUUGCAUAUUUAUCAGUAAUGAUCUGAAAAUAUAAAAUCUAGAUAGAGAUCUGUUUAAAAUUUGUGCAAUAUAAUUUUUUGAACCUCCUCCCCUACAGUGUGUUCUUCUGACAUAGAUGGUUUCACAGCUGCUGCAUCUUCAUCCAGUUUAUUAUUUAUUUGUUUCAGCAUUAUUUCCUGCCUCGGUAGCAGCUGUUCCUUCUGAAGCCUGUGUUUGGCAGAUUGGCAAAAUUCAACAGUGAACUACAAGAAACAGCAUAAAUUAUUGCAGUUGAUGCUUCUUUGCAGUUUCAUACAGGCAUAUGUGCAGUCCAGUAUCACAGCAGAUUGUACUAUAUCUCUACUUUGCACAUAACCUCUAAUAGUAAAAAUAAAAUAACAAAAUAAAACUUAUAUAUGAAAAAUGCAGCUAAAAUGUUAACUGAUGUGCCUAUAAUAUCCUCCAUGUGUUUUACAUGUCAUCAAAACAGUUCAGACCUGCAUAGGGAAGACCUCUGAAAGUGCUAUAUGGUAUAUCAGACCUAGAGUUUUGCAGCAGAUCCUUUAAGUCCUUGGAGUUAUAAAUUGAAACCACCAUGGAUUAAAUUUAUUCCAGACUUAUCUCCCAACUCCCUGCUGAGGGUUCAUGGUUAAUGUCUCUUCAAGCAACUCUCAGGUACUCAUGACUGCUGAUUUAAAGCACAAGUAUUUUUGAACACUCAGUUGUCUGGCCAUCAUUAUUUUUCACAUGUUGACGUUAUUGAAGAACAUUACAGACUAAUGGAGGUAUCAGAAAUCAUUGUUACAAUGCAAUAUUUCUGCCCACUAUAUAUAAUGAAGUCAUUGUUGUUUGUACUGUUUUUGUUUGGGUUUUUUCAUUUUUUUUCUGUCUGACAGACUCAGUCUAUAACUUAAUUGGUGUCAAAUUUCCUUGCUCUCAUUCAGUUCCAUUCCUGGUCUAGCUGGCCCUGGUCCUCCCUGUCUCUGGUCUUUGCUACUGGCUCACUCAACAAACACAUAUCUGUUGUGAUACUCAUCAGUACCAUUGGGCUUCUCCAAGAAGGAUCUGAAAUGUUCUCUAACUUCACUGUGUUGCACCGUGGCUGGUUGAAGCAAGUUGGGAGGCCACUAUAAUUAGAUCAUACAGCAGGUGGAGAACUGGUUCUGUAAUGUAGAGCCUGUAAGGUCUACCUGCAGUCCAACACUUGGGAGAAUCGACUAAUAAUAUUGACUAGUUGGGAAUAUGUCGAAAGUGUACUUCGCGAAUAAAAUGCUAUAUCAAUUCUAAAUCACAUUUUUUUACAUAUGCAGACAAAUUUUAGAUGUUUAGAUAUUUAGAUGGCACAAAAAGUUGUGCUGUGAUGUUGAAUAUUACAGGAACUAUGAUAAAAGUCAAUGCAGACCAUUGUUCUGAUUCUGAAAAAUGUUUGCAUACACCAAAGUGGC
Oreochromis aureus is the source of this 3205-nucleotide long non-coding RNA. RefSeq lists it as uncharacterized. The record is from RefSeq and is a predicted model, not a curated record. NCBI's taxonomy places the organism in Eukaryota, Metazoa, Chordata, Actinopteri, Cichliformes, Cichlidae. The transcript is spliced from 3 exons.